Long non-coding RNA from Alnus glutinosa, 917 nucleotides. RefSeq lists it as uncharacterized. The record is from RefSeq and is a predicted model, not a curated record. NCBI's taxonomy places the organism in Eukaryota, Viridiplantae, Streptophyta, Magnoliopsida, Fagales, Betulaceae. The transcript has 3 exons.
UUUCUUCUCUUUUCUUCUUCUUUCUUCGUUCUUCCUUUUGCCCGAGCACAGACAGAGAGAAAUUGAGAGUGAGAGAGAGACCGGGAGAGAGAGGCAGAGAACCGAGAGAGAGAGUGACGGGGAAGAGAGGAUCUGUGAGGUGCGACUCGAUCCGGAAAGGACCCGAUGCAGCCCGUUGAACCCAUGAGGACCCGAUCCUCCAUGAUCGGCGGCCGAGACUGGAAUCCGGCGAUGGAGGAGCUCCGACGGAACCUAGGAGCCGAACCACGAAGACCCGAAGCCUAGACCCGCGACCCGUGAGCUCAAACCCGUGCGACCCGCAACCCAGAACCCGUGACCCGCGGAACCCAACGGCUUGAAGGCGGGUAUUCCGUCGGCUAGAAUCCAUUUCCAGCGACUGGGGAAACAAUCGACGAACAGAGACCUCCAGUGGCGCGAUUCUCAGUGAAGCCGAAGGAAACCCAUUGACCCGAUGGCCCAAUAAGACCCGGUUCUUCAAAGUGAUUUCCGGCGACUUUUCCGACGGAAUCAGUGGCGUUUUUCGGUGGAUUUGCUAUGAAAAUCUUUGGGAUCGAGUUAUAAUUGGAGACUUCAAUGGGUUCUCCAAUGUAGAGUUCGAGUUGGAGUCUAAUGCAGCCAAGAUGGUGUUUCUUUGGCUGCAGGUACUUCGGUAUAGUUGAUGGGUUGGUAGCAGUGUACUUGAGAUAUUAUGACUGAAGCUCGCCGCGAUAGUUGCAAUUGUCGGACCAUGGGUUGUCCACUAUUUUAUAGGUUUGGUAUGGCUUGUGACGUUUGUGUCACUUAUUCUUUGUUAAGCCAUUAUUGUUAUAGUGUUAAUAAGACUCAAACAGAUAGAUGUUAAAUGGAUCUUUGUUGUAAUUAAUUUGUAAUAGAUGUAUAAGUUGUAAUUUCCGCUA